This 85-nucleotide unclassified non-coding RNA is filed under the name Salmonella enterica subsp. enterica serovar Paratyphi B str. SPB7. Its description in RNAcentral is "sgrS RNA". It matches the Rfam family "SgrS RNA", at positions 158 to 230 of the family's 232-position model. Rfam says of the family: In sugar transport-related sRNA (SgrS) is induced under conditions of glucose phosphate stress in E.coli. This small RNA acts to negatively regulate the translation and stability of the ptsG mRNA, which encodes the major glucose transporter in E. coli. Lineage: Bacteria; Pseudomonadati; Pseudomonadota; Gammaproteobacteria; Enterobacterales; Enterobacteriaceae. The record is from RNAcentral.
AAUUGCAGACAUCAUGUGUGACUGAGUAUUGGUGUAGGCGAUAGCCUAAAAUCACCCGCCAGCAGAUAAUAUCUGCUGGCUUUUU